RNAcentral lists this unclassified non-coding RNA (344 nucleotides) under soil metagenome. RNAcentral's name for it is "partial contains 5.8S ribosomal RNA, internal transcribed spacer 2, and large subunit ribosomal RNA". The stretch from base 1 to 119 matches the Rfam family "5.8S ribosomal RNA", at positions 35 to 154 of the family's 154-position model. The record is from RNAcentral.
GAUGAAGAACGCAGCGAAAUGCGAUAAGUAAUGUGAAUUGCAGAAUUCAGUGAAUCAUCGAGUCUUUGAACGCACAUUGCGCCCCCUGGUAUUCCGGGGGCAUGCCUGUCCGAGCGUCAUUGCUGCCCUCAAGCACGGCUUGUGUGUUGGGCCUCCGUCCUCCUCCCGGGGGACGGGCCCGAAAGGCAGCGGCGGCACCGCGUCCGGUCCUCGAGCGUAUGGGGCUUCGUCACCCGCUCUUGUAGGCCCGGCCGGCGCUUGCCGACACAUCAAUCUUUUUUCCAGGUUGACCUCGGAUCAGGUAGGGAUACCCGCUGAACUUAAGCAUAUCAAUAAGCGGAGGA